Molecule: ribosomal RNA, 253 nt
Filed under: uncultured bacterium
Lineage: Bacteria
Description: partial 16S ribosomal RNA
Rfam family: Bacterial small subunit ribosomal RNA
Source: RNAcentral
UACGUAGGGUGCAAGCGUUAAUCGGAAUUACUGGGCGUAAAGCGUGCGCAGGCGGUUUUGUACGUCUGACGUGAAAUCCCCGGGCUCAACCUGGGAAUUGCGUUGGAGACUGCAAGGCUAGAAUCUGGCAGAGGGGGGUAGAAUUCCACGUGUAGCAGUGAAAUGCGUAGAGAUGUGGAGGAACACCGAUGGCGAAGGCAGCCCCCUGGGUCAAGAUUGACGCUCAUGCACGAAAGCGUGGGGAGCAAACAGG